RNAcentral lists this long non-coding RNA (291 nucleotides) under Brassica rapa (field mustard). Its description in RNAcentral is "long non-coding RNA (BRAP_LNC006383)". The record is from RNAcentral. Lineage: Eukaryota; Viridiplantae; Streptophyta; Magnoliopsida; Brassicales; Brassicaceae.
AAAAUGAUUUGCUACUCACUUAAAAUGCAUGUCAAGUUUUUUAUUUAAAAAAUUAACAAAAAAGUUACUUCCGAAAUUUAAAAAAAUAACUAAAUUAAUGCCUUUUUAGUUUUAGAAUGUUAUGUCCAAAUCUAUUAACUAUUCAAUCUAUUAAAAAGAAAAAAUUAGUUAACUAAAAGUUAUAUUUUUAAAUAUAAGAAACUUGAGAAAUGAAAAUUUUAAUUUUUUUUUUCAAAAUCUAAAUAUCCGAACCAGAUCCGAAAUAACCGAAUCCGAACUAAAAAUACCCGA